GCCUGGGUGGCUCAGUCGGUUAAGUGUCCGACUUCCACUCAGGUCGUGAUCUCGUGGUUUGUGGGUUCGAGUCCCACGUCGGGCU
Molecule: transfer RNA, 85 nt
Filed under: Felis catus (domestic cat)
Lineage: Eukaryota; Metazoa; Chordata; Mammalia; Carnivora; Felidae
Rfam family: tRNA
About the family: Transfer RNA (tRNA) molecules are approximately 80 nucleotides in length. Their secondary structure includes four short double-helical elements and three loops (D, anti-codon, and T loops).
Source: Rfam by way of RNAcentral